CAGUGGGUGUAAGUGCCACCCGGCGUCCGCUUCAGCCGGAAGCAACCGGAGCAGGCAUGGAGGUGUCGAAAUGUCUGAAGCCUCUGGAUAGCGGUCGCGACUUGGUGACGGUGCGCGUGUGCAGGCCGCAACGUGA
This 136-nucleotide non-coding RNA is filed under the name Bradyrhizobium erythrophlei. Lineage: Bacteria; Pseudomonadati; Pseudomonadota; Alphaproteobacteria; Hyphomicrobiales; Nitrobacteraceae. The record is from RNAcentral.